Long non-coding RNA from Eptesicus fuscus (big brown bat), 1032 nucleotides. RefSeq lists it as uncharacterized. The transcript is spliced from 4 exons. Lineage: Eukaryota; Metazoa; Chordata; Mammalia; Chiroptera; Vespertilionidae. The record is from RefSeq and is a predicted model, not a curated record.
GCAGCAGCCAAAGAACUCACUCUCGCGAGAGCUUGCCCCCACCCACCUCGGGUCUCCAUUCGGCACGCGCCAGGAUCCUCCCCCUCCCUGGUGUGCGCACUACACGCCGGUUCCCAGCGGCUGUGGUGGUUCUCUAAUCCGGGAGCCCGCCGGUGGCGGGAGAUAAGGAAGCAGCUACAGUUUACGGGUUCGAGUCCCAUUUCCCCCAAAAAACCUUUUUCGAAACCCCUUUAUUGCAUGGUGUAAAAUUUAAAUAGGGUCUGUGUUAGAAGCGAGGCUUGGGAGUCCUUGGCUUAGAUCUGAUUUCUAUCCUCCCAGGCAAAUCUGAUUAUUUGCGGAGGAAUGGUAGGAAGCACCAGAAGGAGGAACCCAUGUCAUUUUGGCUGGUUUUUAAUCUCAGGAAUUCUGUGGGGGACCAUUGAGAGAUAACCAGGCACCCCAGGCAGAAGACAUGGAUACAAGUAUCCCCAUGAAUUAAAUGUUGACUGCAAAACAGGCCUGGAAGCACUGACUGAAGACCAUGCUGCCAAAUCCUUUAAAUGAAUAGGAAACAAGAAUCCCUUUGCCAUGCCUUCAGUCAUUUUACCCAACCUUCAGAGAAUUUCUGCCACGUGCCAGGCACUGUGCCUGGGAUCUAGCAGUGUACAAGAGAGUGGAAGAGCGGGGAGAGGAGGAGAGAGAAAGAGGCGAUCGAAUCUGCAACCCAGAAAACAACUCCGAGACCAUGUGGAUUCCUGCAACAGAGAGGAAUUGACAGGACUACUCCAGCCAUGAAGACAGAAGAGAAGCAGUCCAGAGAUGGAAGAUGCCGACGUCGCCUUGCCAUACUAGCAAUCAGCAGCUGUGCGUCACUGCAGGUUGCCCAGGACCAAACCAGAGAGGGUUGGACCUGCAUUACCACCAUUUGUCCACCAUCCAGAACUGAAAUAUCAUUGCUGACAUGUACUCAUAAGGAACUGUUUGACAUUGAAAUUGGGAUUCAAAAGAACUGUUGGCCCAGAAAGAAACUCACUACAGACUGAUUCAUUUGCC